AAGGAGAUCAGAUCGAAUGGAGCUCCAGUUGAGGUGGUCGAUGGUGAUCACUAAGAACCCUCAUGCCAAAGGCAGCGUCUCCUCCCAGUGAAACAAUAAAAGUGAAAAAUGAAGGGGGACUAGCUAUUUAUAGGAGCUCAAACACCUUCGGUCAAGUGACAAUUAAUUUAGCCAUCAUGGAUGGCUGCCAAGUGGUAGCUUGAGAAUGGAGCACAUGAUCUCCCAUGGAUCACCAGCAUCAACGACCCAGAUCAGCAGAAGCAGCGACUUGGACGGGCAGGACCAUGACAUGUGGCACCCACUCUUCACUUUGCCAUUUCACCCAUCGAGGUGCAUUUAUUAUGGUCACCCCAUCUCCGAACAUGGCUCGACCUCCGUCAAGAUCUAAUUCUUUUUGCUCAAUCUCAAUUUCAGCUCAGACUCAAGAGUCGAGGACAAGUGCUGGGGAUGUCACCCAACCUUGGUUAGAGCCGAAGCUCCUUUGAGCUCGGUUAACAUCGAGGACAUGUGGUCUGACCUUGCUGACUUAGCCUCCUCAAUCGAGGUCGAGGAGGAGGCUGCUCGAUUGAGGAGGAGGCUGCCCAAUUAGGCAAGCCUCCUAAUUUAGAAGGAGAUCAAUGUUCUAGACACAGUGCACCAAAUGAGAUAACCAUAACCACGUAGGAGC
This 667-nucleotide long non-coding RNA is filed under the name Elaeis guineensis (African oil palm). RNAcentral's name for it is "long non-coding RNA (EGUI_LNC001715)". The record is from RNAcentral. Lineage: Eukaryota; Viridiplantae; Streptophyta; Magnoliopsida; Arecales; Arecaceae.